GGUGAUGUUGCUAAGGGGUUAAGGCGAUGGACUGCUAAUCCAUUCGAGUUUCCGCACGUGAGUUCGAAUCUCACCUUCGUCG
Molecule: transfer RNA, 82 nt
Filed under: Trichuris muris
Lineage: Eukaryota; Metazoa; Nematoda; Enoplea; Trichinellida; Trichuridae
Description: snRNA TMUE_0100000098
Rfam family: tRNA
About the family: Transfer RNA (tRNA) molecules are approximately 80 nucleotides in length. Their secondary structure includes four short double-helical elements and three loops (D, anti-codon, and T loops). Further hydrogen bonds mediate the characteristic L-shaped molecular structure. tRNAs have two regions of fundamental functional importance: the anti-codon, which is responsible for specific mRNA codon recognition, and the 3' end, to which the tRNAs corresponding amino acid is attached (by aminoacyl-tRNA synthetases). tRNAs cope with the degeneracy of the genetic code in two manners: having more than one tRNA (with a specific anti-codon) for a particular amino acid; and 'wobble' base-pairing, i.e. permitting non-standard base-pairing at the 3rd anti-codon position.
Source: RNAcentral